This 494-nucleotide ribosomal RNA is filed under the name uncultured bacterium. Its description in RNAcentral is "partial 16S ribosomal RNA". It matches the Rfam family "Bacterial small subunit ribosomal RNA", at positions 28 to 507 of the family's 1533-position model. The record is from RNAcentral.
GACGAACGCUGGCGGCGUGCUUAACACAUGCAAGUCGAACGGUGAAGCGCCUUCCUUUUUGGUGGGUGUGGAUGAGUGGUGAACGGGUGAGUAACACGUGAGUAACCUGCCCCCUUCUUCUGGAUAACCGCAUGAAAGUGUGGCUAAUACGGGAUAUUCUGGGUCUGUCGCAUGAUGGGUCUGGGAAAGAUAUUGUUUCGGUGGGGGAUGGGCUCGCGGCCUAUCAGCUUGUUGGUGGGGUGAUGGCCUACCAAGGCGGUGACGGGUAGCCGGCCUGAGAGGGUGGACGGUCACACUGGGACUGAGACACGGCCCAGACUCCUACGGGAGGCAGCAGUGGGGAAUAUUGCACAAUGGGCGCAAGCCUGAUGCAGCGACGCCGCGUGAGGGAUGGAGGCCGUCGGGUUGUGAACCUCUUUCGCCAGUGAAGCAGGCCUGCCUCGUUUGUGGGUGGGUUGACGGUAGCUGGAGAAGAAGCGCCGGCUAACUACGUG